This 376-nucleotide RNase P RNA is filed under the name Oligoflexia bacterium. RNAcentral's name for it is "RNase P RNA component class A". It matches the Rfam family "Bacterial RNase P class A". Rfam says of the family: Ribonuclease P (RNase P) is a ubiquitous endoribonuclease, found in archaea, bacteria and eukarya as well as chloroplasts and mitochondria. Its best characterised activity is the generation of mature 5'-ends of tRNAs by cleaving the 5'-leader elements of precursor-tRNAs. Lineage: Bacteria; Pseudomonadati; Bdellovibrionota; Oligoflexia. The record is from RNAcentral.
CACAUCAGACGGGCAAUCGCUGGCUUUUAAUAAAAGCGGGAGGAAAGUCCGGGCUCCACAAAGCGCAGUACCGGUUAACGCCCGGGGGUUUGGGUAUAAUGCCCAGGCUAUGGAAAGUGCCACAGAGAAUAUACCGCCGCAAGGUAAGGGUGAAAAGGCGAGGUAAGAGCUCACCGCCUGUUUAGUAAUAAACAGGGCAUGGAAAACCCUGCUGGGAGCAAGACCAAAUAGGAAAUGAGAGUAGCUUUGCUCGUUUGAAUUUCGGGUAUAGGUUGCUGAUGAACGACCUGAGUAAUCAGGCGUCUAGAGGAAUGAUUGCCUCCGGAGCACGCAAGUGCAACGAAGACAGGACCCGGCUUACAGUCUGAUGUGGUUU